This 410-nucleotide ribosomal RNA is filed under the name uncultured bacterium. RNAcentral's name for it is "bacterial SSU rRNA". It matches the Rfam family "Bacterial small subunit ribosomal RNA", at positions 29 to 480 of the family's 1533-position model. The record is from RNAcentral.
AACGAACGCUGGCGGCAGGCCUAAUACAUGCAAGUCGAGCGCUCUAGCAAUAGAGAGCGGCGCACGGGUGCGUAACGCGUGGGAAUGUACCUCUAGGUGCGGAACAACGUCGGGAAACUGACGCUAAUACCGCAUAAUAUCUCCGGAUCAAAGAUUUAUCGCCUAGGGAUCAGCCCGCGUUGGAUUAGCUAGUUGGUGAGGUAAUGGCUCACCAAGGCGACGAUCCAUAGCUGGUCUGAGAGGAUGAUCAGCCACACUGGAACUGAGACACGGUUCAGACUCCUACGGGAGGCAGCAGUGGGGAAUAUUGGACAAUGGGCGAAAGCCUGAUCCAGCCACGCCGCGUGGGUGAUGAAGGCCUCGGUUGUAAGACCGUCGUCGGAGGGACGGAAGUACAAUAGACGGUACCG